UUAUGGCUCAGGAUGAACGCUGGCGGCGUGCUUAACACAUGCAAGUCGAACGGAGUUUUAACGGAAGUUUCGGAUGGAAGUUUAGAAACUUAGUGGCGGACGGGUGAGUAACGCGUGGGUAACCUGCCUCAUACAGGGGGAUAACAGUUAGAAAUGACUGCUAACACCGCAUAAUAUAGCGAAACCGCAUGAUUUUGCUAUCAAAUAUUUAUAGGUAUGAGAUGGGCCCGCGUCUGAUUAGCUAGUUGGUGGGGUAAAAGCCUACCAAGGCGACGAUCAGUAGCCGGCUUGAGAGAGUGACCGGCCACAUUGGGACUGAGACACGGCCCAAACUCCUACGGGAGGCAGCAGUGGGGAAUAUUGGACAAUGGGGGAAACCCUGAUCCAGCGAACCGCCGCGUGAGUGAAGAAGUAUUUCGGUAUGUAAAGCUCUAUCAGCAGGGAAGAUAAUGACAGUACCUGACUAAGAAGCCCCGGCUAACUACGUGCCAGCCGCAGC
Molecule: ribosomal RNA, 499 nt
Filed under: uncultured bacterium
Lineage: Bacteria
Description: bacterial SSU rRNA
Rfam family: Bacterial small subunit ribosomal RNA
Source: RNAcentral